CUCUACACCCUUUGUGACAUACCUAUAACUGUUGCUUCGGCGGGUAGGGUCUCCGUGACCCUCCCGGCCUCCCGCCCCCGGGCGGGUCGGCGCCCGCCGGAGGAUAACCAAACUCUGAUUUAACGACGUUUCUUCUGAGUGGUACAAGCAAAUAAUCAAAACUUUUAACAACGGAUCUCUUGGUUCUGGCAUCGAUGAAGAACGCAGCGAAAUGCGAUAAGUAAUGUGAAUUGCAGAAUUCAGUGAAUCAUCGAAUCUUUGAACGCACAUUGCGCCCGCCAGCAUUCUGGCGGGCAUGCCUGUUCGAGCGUCAUUUCAACCCUCAAGCUCUGCUUGGUGUUGGGGCCCUACAGCUGAUGUAGGCCCUCAAAGGUAGUGGCGGACCCUCUCGGAGCCUCCUUUGCGUAGUAACUUUACGUCUCGCACUGGGAUCCGGAGGGACUCUUGCCGUAAAACCCCCAAUUUUCCAAAGGUUGACCUCGGAUCAGGUAGGAAUACCCGCUGAACUUAAGCAUAUCA
RNAcentral lists this ribosomal RNA (519 nucleotides) under Colletotrichum gloeosporioides. RNAcentral describes it as "eukaryotic LSU rRNA". The stretch from base 160 to 313 matches the Rfam family "5.8S ribosomal RNA". Lineage: Eukaryota; Fungi; Ascomycota; Sordariomycetes; Glomerellales; Glomerellaceae. The record is from RNAcentral.